Siniperca chuatsi (mandarin fish) is the source of this 1252-nucleotide long non-coding RNA. RefSeq lists it as uncharacterized. The transcript has 4 exons. The record is from RefSeq and is a predicted model, not a curated record. Lineage: Eukaryota; Metazoa; Chordata; Actinopteri; Centrarchiformes; Sinipercidae.
UUUUCUAGCUGUAGAAAUAGUUUGUGUAUGUGUAAUUAAACUUUGUGCAGGAAUAUUUUCAACAGUGAGGUUUCACAAGGUCUGAAAGAUGGACACACAAAUUCCCUAUAUGUGUAUGUGACACUGAAGUUACAAGCUGCGAGUUACAAGCACGAAUUUUGACCCUGUAUCAGCACGUUGGCCACUAACCAUCCAAUCAGAGGAAGUCAAACUGUCCAAUCAGGGUCGUGUCUAGAUGGUAACCCUGGAUUUGCGAAACUCUCGCGAGAUUUGUAUGGGUUGUUUCUUCAUUGUGCACAUUCCUAAACCUACUCAAAUUGUUAAUCUCGCAAGAGUUUCCGCAAAUCUAGGGUUCUAGACAGGACCUCCAAUCCGGGGGCAAAAAGGUUCUAGAACGUGCUGGUUACUGACCGCUAUGCUAGCUUUGCCAGCCGGCUAGCCUGCCAAUCAUACUUACAGACCACGCUGUGAGUUUUUGCUUCGGGAUUUCACAUUAACUUAGUUCCAGUAGAUGCAACACAUGGGAUCAAAAACGUGAGCUGCCGUGGCUGUGUCGCUCACUCAGCGAGUCAGUUUAGUCUCUCCCUGCUGCAGCCAGCUCACAGCGGGGUCUGUGAGUAUGACUGGCUGGCUGGCUAGCUAGCGACCCCCGCAGGCGCUAGCUUGCUGUCGCGGCAGUUUGACGAACUUCUCUCUGCUGUUUUGGUGCAGGAGAGACUUGAAUCGCUGUCAAAACACCCUACAAGGGAACAAGGCAGAUAAGCUCAGGAAACAACAAUCUCAUAAGGUCAAGGCGGCUGCAGUUUUAUGAGCCAGGCUUCGCAGUUGCUGUGCACUGACUUCAAAAGGUCAAUGGGAAACAACUGCCUUUUCCCUGAUUCGAGUGGGGCUUGACCAACUAACUUCUGCAAAUUUGGCGACCAGAGUUGCAAGUGAAAUCCAGUCACAGUGCACUGAAAUUUGGAAAGGGAUCUAGCAGGAUGAAUACAUUAGUAGGAGGAGGAAUACAUUCUCAGCAGUCAGUAUCAGACAGGUGCAUGCCAGAGGGACUGCAGGUAUGUUCUCUUGUCAUGGUUCUUUGUCACACUUCUCUGCUUCAUCGGACAGAAGAUGGAAACGCUAAAAACUCUUGCCAAAUGUACUUCUUGAGAAACUUGAAGCUUAACACCAGAUAUUUAGACCUGCACCAAAAAUUUUAUUUAGUUUUUAAUGUUGAUUGAUUCUGGACAGUUUAAUAAAGAACUACUCACUG